AUUGAACGCUGGCGGCAGGCCUAACACAUGCAAGUCUAACGAGUGGCGUACGGGUGAGUAAUGUCUGGGAAACUGCCCGAUGGAGGGGGAUAACUACUGGAAACGGUAGCUAAUACCGCAUACCAUCAGAUGUGCCCAGAUGGGAUUCGCUAGUAUGUGGGGUAAAGGCUCACCUAGGCGACGAUCCCUAGCUGGUCUGAGAGGAUGACCAGCCACACUGGAACUGAGACACGGUCCAGACUCCUAUGGGAGGCAGCAGUGGGGAAUAUUGCACAAUGGGCGCAAGCCUGAUGCAGCCAUGCCGCGUGUAUGAAGAAGGCCUUCGGGUUGUAAAGUACUUUCAGCGGGGAGGCGUUACCCGCAGAAGAAGCACCGGCUAACUCCGUGCCAGCAGCCGCGGUAAUUC
RNAcentral lists this ribosomal RNA (406 nucleotides) under uncultured bacterium. RNAcentral describes it as "partial 16S ribosomal RNA". It matches the Rfam family "Bacterial small subunit ribosomal RNA", at positions 30 to 526 of the family's 1533-position model. The record is from RNAcentral.